This 505-nucleotide ribosomal RNA is filed under the name uncultured bacterium. RNAcentral's name for it is "partial 16S ribosomal RNA". It matches the Rfam family "Bacterial small subunit ribosomal RNA", at positions 28 to 507 of the family's 1533-position model. The record is from RNAcentral.
GACGAACGCUGGCGGUGUGCCUAAUACAUGCAAGUAGAACGCACAGUUUAUACCGUAGCUUGCUACACCAUAGACUGUGAGUUGCGAACGGGUGAGUAACGCGUAGGUAACCUGCCUGGUAGCGGGGGAUAACUAUUGGAAACGAUAGCUAAUACCGCAUAAUAUUAAUUAUUGCAUGAUAAUUAAUUGAAAGGUGCAAUUGCACCACUACCAGAUGGACCUGCGUUGUAUUAGCUAGUAGGUGAGGUAACGGCUCACCUAGGCGACGAUACAUAGCCGACCUGAGAGGGUGAUCGGCCACACUGGGACUGAGACACGGCCCAGACUCCUACGGGAGGCAGCAGUAGGGAAUCUUCGGCAAUGGACGAAAGUCUGACCGAGCAACGCCGCGUGAGUGAAGAAGGUUUUCGGAUCGUAAAGCUCUGUUGUAAGAGAAGAACGGGUGUGAGAGUGGAAAGUUCACACUGUGACGGUAUCUUACCAGAAAGGGACGGCUAACUACGUG